GCAACCACAUUUUCAAAAAGCUUUUAUCUAUCAUAGUUGUCCCUCCCACUAAGCUUUGUGCCUCACACUCCUGCACCUACACUGACCAUGUGGACUAUGUCGGACCUUGCGAAGUUGAUCACGACGCUGAGCAUGGCAAAGCCGAGCUGCAUCGAGAAGAUCAGAGACGUAUUUGUCAGUCGAGUGGGAAGACGAAAAGUCAAAAAAAUAUUAUGAUAAAAAUUCCUUAUGGUGACAAUCCACGUUGACAAUCAUUUCAGUAACAAAUUUGUCCCUCCGUGCCACGUAGGCUAUUUUAUUAUUGGUAACGCACGAAAGUUAACGGCAGAACAUAUUUGUCAUACUUUUUACGCUUUCAUGGACUAAAUUUUGUAUUUUAAUCUUUUAUAGACGCAUUUGUCAGCGAAUUACACAUUGAUGGACAAAAGUGACUAUUUAUCUUAAAAAAUAUUUAUCUUAAAA
Long non-coding RNA from Glycine soja, 462 nucleotides. RefSeq lists it as uncharacterized. NCBI's taxonomy places the organism in Eukaryota, Viridiplantae, Streptophyta, Magnoliopsida, Fabales, Fabaceae. The transcript has 2 exons. The record is from RefSeq and is a predicted model, not a curated record.